GUGGGAACUCAGCCAUGGCCCCAUGUAAGGUCUGUAGGGCAGCCUGUAUCUGGCCCACCUCUUGGCCGGGGACCUAGGUGGGAUCUCAGCCAUGGCCCCAUGUAAGGUCUGUAGGGCAGCCUGUAUCUGGCCCACCUCUGGGCCGGGGACCUAGGUGGGAUCUCAGCCAUGGCCCCAUGUAAGGUCUGUAGGGCAGCCUGUAUCUGGCCCACCUCUUGGCCGGGGACCUAGGUGGGAUCUCAGCCGUACCUUUGUGCAGUAUGUGAACCUGGGCUGAACCUUUUUAUUUGACAAUUAUUUUUCACUGUAUGAUACAAAGUAUUCAGACCUCUUGACUUUUUCCACAUUUUGUAACGUUACAGCCUUAUUCUAAAAAUGGAUUAAAUAAAACAUUUCCCUCAUUAAUCUACACACAAUACCCCAUAAUGACAUCACAAUAGCCCAUAAUCACAAAGUUAAAAACCUUAUUUACAUAAGUAUUCAGACCCUUUGCUAUGAGACUCGAAAUUGAACUCAGGUGCAUCCUGUUUCCAUUAAUCAUCCUUGAGAUGUUUCUAUAACUUGACUGGAGUCCACCUGUGGUAAAUUCAAUUGAUUGGACAUGAUUUGGAAAGAAACACACCUGGCUAUAUAAGGUCCCACAGUCGACAGUGCAUGUCAGAGCAAAAACCAAGCCAUGAGGUCAAAGAAAUUGUCCGUAGAGCUCAGAGAGGAUUGUGAUGAGGUACAGAUCUGGGGGAAGGGUACCAAAAAAUGUCUGCAGUAUUGAAGGUCCCCAAGAACACAGUGGCCUCCAUCAUUAAAUCAAAGAAGUUUGGAACCACAAAGACUCUUCCUAGAUCUGUCCGCCCGGCCAAACUGAGCAGCAUCAUGCUGUGGGGAUGUUUUUCAGCGGCAGGGACUGGGAGGGAAAAGAUCAAGGGAAAGAUGAACGAUGCGAUGCAAAGUACAGAGAGAUCCUUGAUGAAAACCUGCCAAAGGUGCUUCAACAAAGUACUGAGUAAAGGGUCUGAAUACUUAUGUAAAUGUGAUAUUUUUUUACAUUUUUUUUAUACAUUUCAAAAAAAUCUGUUUUUGCUUUGUCAUUAUGGGGUAUUGUGUGUAGAUUAAUGAGAGAAAAACAAUUAAACCAUUUUCCUCCCUCUAGCUGGUGUUAUAGGUGAUAUAAUGUGUUAGUGCCCAGACGGCAUCCCCAGCCACGUCCUCAGAGCCUGCGCAGACCAGCUGGCUGUUUACGGACAUAUUCAAUCUCUCCAGCACUAACACAUUAUAUCACCUAUAACACCAGCUAGAACAUUAAAUAUUCAGUCAAAAAUGAUACAACUUUACAUUAUUUCAUGAUGAAUAAAAUAAAUCAUUAAUCUAAACAAUUUGAGGAAUUGUCUUUCAGAAAGAGUGUAGCAGAGGACUUAAUUGGUUGACAGAGAAUCAAGAGCAAAGGAUUGUGGGAUAGAUAGUAGAGUGGAAGGAGGGCAGAAAUGUUUUGGGCAGGAGGAGCUACUUAGGUCCAAAAGGCACUGUGUGCUUUUGGUCCAGCUGGUUCGAAUUCCAGAGCAAGGAACUUCAGCCUCAAUUUCUCUGGAUGAAAGUGUCUGCUAAAUGACUAUAAUCAUAGAUCUCAAUCAGUUGAAUCAGGACUGUUAUAUAGCUGGACCAAAAGCCUACAGUAGUCAGGGCAUCUUAGCAUAGCGUCUCUCUGCCAGGUGGGGCCUCGUUAGGGCUGUUACGGUUACCAUUACCGGCAGUCAAAUUCCACGUCACGGUAAUUAGGCAUCUCCAAGCUCUGCUGCUGGUGAUUGUUAACCAACUAAACUUGCUAACUACCUGGUACUCAGCAUUUUAUUGUGCCUCUAAUCACUCUGACAUCAAUGUAAAAUCAAAUCAAACACUUCAUGAGAGCCCAUGAGCUCAAGUGGAGCAACGUUUCUAUAGGGUAUGUCAUUAUGUAAGAAUACAGAGUGAUGACCUCUAUUAAAAAUAGGAGGAACCCAUCAGCUUUCUAUAGGCUAAGCCUACUAUAUUUAUUUAAGAACGUUCCUGAUAUUAAGCACAUUGCUUCUCUUUACAACAGGAGUAUAGCCUACCUGGCUGGCAUGAGAAUGAACCAGGGGAAACGCAUCCUCCAUUCUCUAUUCAAAUGCAUCUAUUUUUUUCUCCUGCCCGUUCUGAGACAAGAUAUGGAUAUGGUCCAUUCUAAAUCAAUACAUAUAUGCCAGGUACCUACUGCCAGGUACCUACUUUUACCUACUGCCAGGUACCUACUUUUACCUACUGCCAGGUACCUACUUUUACCUACUGCCAGGUACCUACUUUUACCUACUGCCAGGUACCUACUUUUACCUACUGCCAGGUACCUACUUGUACCUACUGCCAGGUACCUACUUGUACCUACUGCCAGGUAUCUACUUCUACCUACUACUAUGUACCUUCAACGACAUACUGCCAUGUACCUACUGCCAUGUACCUACUUGUACCUACUGCCAUGUACCUACUUGUACCUACUGCCAUGUACCUACUUCUACCUACUGCCAUGUACCUACUUC
Molecule: long non-coding RNA, 2543 nt
Organism: Oncorhynchus tshawytscha (Chinook salmon)
Lineage: Eukaryota; Metazoa; Chordata; Actinopteri; Salmoniformes; Salmonidae
Source: Ensembl